RNAcentral lists this ribosomal RNA (372 nucleotides) under uncultured bacterium. RNAcentral describes it as "bacterial SSU rRNA". It matches the Rfam family "Bacterial small subunit ribosomal RNA", at positions 524 to 898 of the family's 1533-position model. The record is from RNAcentral.
UGCGGAGGGUGCAAGCGUUAUCCGGAAUCACUGGGUUUAAAGGGUGCGUAGGCGGAUAUUUAAGUCAGUGGUGAAAUCUUGUCGCUUAACGAUAAAAUUGCCAUUGAUACUGAAUGUCUUGAAUUGGGUUGAGGUUAGCGGAAUGUGACAUGUAGCGGUGAAAUGCAUAGAUAUGUCAUGGAACACCAAUUGCGAAGGCAGCUAGCUGGGCCUUGAUUGACGCUGAGGCACGAAAGCGUGGGUAGCGAACAGGAUUAGAUACCCUGGUAGUCCACGCCCUAAACGAUGCUAACUCGAUGUUUGGACGUAAGUUUGAGCAUCCAAGGGAAACCGAUAAGUUAGCCACCUGGGGAGUACGACCGCAAGGUUGAA